This 74-nucleotide transfer RNA is filed under the name Candidatus Nanoarchaeia archaeon. RNAcentral's name for it is "tRNA-Met". It matches the Rfam family "tRNA". From Rfam's summary of the family: Transfer RNA (tRNA) molecules are approximately 80 nucleotides in length. The record is from RNAcentral. Lineage: Archaea; Nanobdellati; Nanobdellota; Candidatus Nanoarchaeia.
GCCUCUGUAGUUUAGCCCGGUAGAACGCCAGUCUCAUGAGCUGGAUAUCGGCGGUUCAAAUCCGCCCAGAGGCA